Molecule: ribosomal RNA, 410 nt
Filed under: uncultured bacterium
Lineage: Bacteria
Description: bacterial SSU rRNA
Rfam family: Bacterial small subunit ribosomal RNA
Source: RNAcentral
AAUGGGCGCAAGCCUGAUCCAGCAAUGCCGCGUGGGUGAAGACGGCCUGCGGGUUGUAAAGCCCUUUGGGCGGGGAGGAACGACGGCGCGCCAACACCGUGCCGUACUGACGUUACCCGCGAAACAAGCACCGGCUAACUCCGUGCCAGCAGCCGCGGUAAUACGGAGGGUGCGAGCGUUAAUCGGAAUUACUGGGCGUAAAGCGUGCGUAGGCGGAUGGGUCAGUCAGCCGUGAGAUCCCCGGGCUCAACCUGGAGACGGCGGUUGAGACGGCGGGGCUCGAGUGGGCUAGAGGAUCGUGGAAUUCCGGGUGUAGCGGUGAAAUGCGUAGAGAUCCGGAGGAACACCGAUGGCGAAGGCAGCGGUCUGGGGCCACACUGACGCUGAGGCACGACGGCGUGGGGAGCAAA